This is a long non-coding RNA of Amblyraja radiata (thorny skate), 126 nucleotides long. RefSeq lists it as uncharacterized. The record is from RefSeq and is a predicted model, not a curated record. The transcript has 3 exons. Lineage: Eukaryota; Metazoa; Chordata; Chondrichthyes; Rajiformes; Rajidae.
UUUUAGUUAAGAUGACAUUUUUGCAGAGCAACAACUUCAUUGACAUGUCAGUGCAGAAAGCAGGGGUACGUGGUUUCCCAGGAUGUCUGGAACAUGCAAACGUCAUCUGGCACCAGAUACAAACUG